CCCUCCCUGCCCCUUUUCCCUCUGCCCCAACUCACACUUGGUCUAAAAUAAGAAACAAAAACCAAAAAAACCCCAAACAAAAAUAAUGUUGAUUAAUUAAUUCAUUGAAAAAUGAUGGCGGCAUCAAAACAGAUUUGUAAUUAAAUACCUUUCUUCACUCCACUAUUGCAAGGGAGGGGAAGGAGAGUGGGUUACAUUUAUUUAUUAAAAAAAAUUUUUUUUAGAUCUUAUUUAAUUCUUAUUUACUCAUUCAUUCAGAGUAAUCUCUACCCUCAACGUGGGGCUCGAACUCAUGACCCUGAGAUCAAGAGUCAGAUGUUCUUCAGAUGGAGCGAGCUAGGCACCCUGACAGUGGGGUACAUUUAGCACUGAAACUGAACUCUGAAACUUCUCCUUUGGAAGGAAACAAGGGUUCAAAAGUUUGGGAUUCCCAAAUCUUCCUAAUCUGCAACAUCUCGAAAAUGAAAAUAUUUUCCACAGUGAAGAUCGAUGGCCCUUUACCUAAGUGGCCUUCCUAAUCUAACCUGUGUGAACAAUGCUAAUGGAGGCUGGUAGCUGGUGAAACACACUCUAGUUUUGAUACAGUAUGGAGAAAAGAGGCAUCGUUCAGCAUCAACAGCACAGACAUUUAGAGGUAGUGCUCCUUACUGCUUUCCUGUGCUCUCCGGCCGUGAGCAGGACCACACCGUCCUCUUGGAUCUCCAUCAGUCUGAUUAGUUCUGAUCUUUGCUCCUCCAUUAUGGACUUAGCAACUGGAGAAUUCCAGUUUCUAUUGGCUUUUGGGAAUACAGAACUGAAGAUGGUCUUCAUUCCCUCCCUCAACCCCUUCGAAAUGAUACUAAAUGAAUUACAAAAGGAAUCUCAACAUAAUGAAAAAAUGAAAGGGGAUAUAAGGUGGGGAAAUACUGCAGAUUUGUGGCAGGCUGCAAGGGAACAGAAUAGGAAGGAUCAAAGCAGCAAGACACAGGAAGCUCUGGCCUGGAGAAAAAUGGAGCGGCCUCAGCACAAGAAGGAACUGAUUUUAGCAGAAGCCUAGAGAGGCUCAGGACUCUUAGGAAGCUUUGGUUUCCCAGGGUAAUGGGCAACGACUCUGCUGCUCCCACUAAACUGAUCCUACCCAUUCACAAAGCUCUUCCGAGGACCCCGUGCUCCCAAACAGCUUUAAAAAAAAUCUUUUUAAGUAACCUCUAUACCCAAUGUGAGGCUUGAACUCAUGACCUCCGAGAUCACGCUUGUGAGUUCAAGCCCUGCA
Molecule: long non-coding RNA, 1252 nt
Organism: Herpailurus yagouaroundi (jaguarundi)
Lineage: Eukaryota; Metazoa; Chordata; Mammalia; Carnivora; Felidae
Exons: 4
Source: RefSeq, a predicted model, not a curated record